RNAcentral lists this long non-coding RNA (666 nucleotides) under Musa acuminata (dwarf banana). Its description in RNAcentral is "long non-coding RNA (MACU_LNC005248)". Lineage: Eukaryota; Viridiplantae; Streptophyta; Magnoliopsida; Zingiberales; Musaceae. The record is from RNAcentral.
GACAAGAGCAUACAAGAAUUCAAAAUAGUAAUAUAAAGCUCAAUUGAAUAAGAAAGCUAAAGGAUAUCAAUUUCCAAAGGAAUGAAACCAGAAUAUGUAAAAUCGACCAAAGCUCGAUUUCUGGCAGAAUUCAGAAGACACAUUGAAUAAAUGAUUCAAACUAUCAAUCGUGCUCCAAUAUACUCAAGAAAUAUAUUGUGGAAAGAUAUUUCAAUCUAGUUUCUGAUGAAACAAGUUUAAUAUGAAUUGAAUUGUCCAACAGAGAGAGUUACAAAUAAUUUGGUAAACAAGGGUCGCAGAACAAAAUCUCUGUUUGGCAGAAUUCAUAAGGUCAGAUUCAACAGAUAACUGGGCAGGUGUUUGGACUCCAAAUCUUUCAAUCCAUAUAUCAAAAGAAAGAUCUACGAGUCUAGUUUCCAAUGAAAUCAGUUUUGAACAAAUCGGAGUUUCCAACAAAGACUUAUAGGCAGCUCGGUAUCAAAAGGUCAGAAUCUCAAAAGUUGCACAGAAUCGAAUCGUUACAUCUAAACAGGAGAUAUAUCAAAUGCAAGGCUAGAACAAUUCAAAGUUCCUUAUAUUCAAAGCAAAUGUAGAGAUAAAAUUACAGUAAGGAAAGAUCGGGACACUUGCAAUAGGAAAGAAUUGAAAGCUUGCAAUAGGAAGGAU